Molecule: long non-coding RNA, 370 nt
Organism: Carassius auratus (goldfish)
Lineage: Eukaryota; Metazoa; Chordata; Actinopteri; Cypriniformes; Cyprinidae
Exons: 3
Source: RefSeq, a predicted model, not a curated record
UGAGCUGUCACACCUUUAAAAUUAAUCCUAUUUGUUCGGAGUCAAAGAAAUGCUGAAAGGAAAGUCCAAGAGGCGAAAAAUCGGUGUGUUGUGCUGUAGGAAACCGUUGCUGGAACAAGACUACCUGUAGGCACUGUACUGAGGGUAAAAAGAGCCAGCGGCGUUUUCAAUCUGCCGGCGAAACACACAACAUACAUUUAUAUGGCAAAGUUCCUCGCCGAGCUGCUGGGAUGUACACUGCCCGAGAAAGGAGCAUCUCCAAUGUUCGAGUGCAGGAGUCAGCCGCACAUCGGACUGAGGCAUGUCACCAAACAGCGGCCCACCAUAUUUGGGACACUGAUUGAAAAACCGCUGGGGGAUCACAAUGCAG